This 1083-nucleotide long non-coding RNA is filed under the name Ursus thibetanus thibetanus. RNAcentral's name for it is "lncRNA (ENSUTTG00000006110.1)". The record is from RNAcentral. Lineage: Eukaryota; Metazoa; Chordata; Mammalia; Carnivora; Ursidae.
GCGUCCCGGGGCAGGUCCUGCGGAGACCCUGCCUGUCCUCCCGGCCACCGUGGUGGGGGUUGCGGGGAGGGAGUGGGGGCGGUUCAGGCCCUCCAUCCCAGACAGCGACCUCGCCUGCCCCGCGGGGCACGUCCCACUCACCUUGAAACGCCUCAGCCCCCCGCACCGGCAAAGGUAGCCUCAGGAGCAGCAGCACCAGCAGCCACGCCCGCGACCCUCGAGCUCUCGGAGACCCCCGGCCCAUCGCUGCGAGCGCCUCGGCCUCCACGCCGCGGCUCCCGGCUCCCGGCUCCGCCCGGGCUGGAUCCACCAGGCCGACCCACGCCCAGAGCAGCCGGCCCGCCGCCUCCCGACCCUCCCGCGCCAGGGGAGCCGGAGCGGCCGUCUAAGGGUAGGAGCGGGGCGGGCGGAAUCCGCGCGGCCCCUCGGGGAGCGGCCCGCGCAGAGCCUCCCGGCAGGUCUCGGCGCCCUAUCCCCGCGGGGGCGGAGCGGGGGCGGAGCGGGGACGGGGCGGGGCCCCUCGCAAGGGCCGGUGAGGGCCACUGGGGGUGGGUGGGGGAGAGACCAGGGCUGGGGGCCACCUGUUGCUGCUCGGGUCUGCGCAGGGAGCGCCCCCCGUCCGCGGCCCCCUCGGCGGACCUCUUUCCCCGCCUGCUCACCAGUCCUGCCCGGAGGGGCCCUGGCCGGAACCCGGCGGAAGUGCCCCUAGGAGAAGGGAGGCGGGCGCCCGCGAGCGGCAGGUGCGGCGGCGGCUCGGGGCUCAGCUCGGCGUCGCGGUGGCCUCCAGCUCCUGUGCCCGCGGCGCGCGGACGGGUCGGGGGAGCCGGGGGAGUCGGGGGAGCCGGGGAGCCGCGGUCCGGCGGGCUUGGUGCCCGGGGAAGGAGAGGCGGCCGCGCGGGGGUGGGGCGGGGGCAGCCCAUGUCCCGGGUGGUGGCCCGAGGGAACAACUGCACAAAGCCACAGACUCCCAGGCGUAGAGGAUUCUUUCUGCUUUGGCAACAUCUGUUUCUUUUAAAGGUUUGUUGUGUACUUAGUAAAUUCGGAGAGCGAGUAAGCCAGUAUUCUGAUAGCGGGAGAUGUUAA